UAGAUUCAGACUUGCAGUCGAGCUAUAUUGAGGACCCUGCCAAUGGGGGCUAAUACAUUGGUACCGCAAGAAGAAUAGUCGGUGAUAUGACCCUGCCACAGGGAACAUGUGGUCAUAGUCCUUGGCUGUUGAGUUGAAUCUGGUAAAUUGAAAGAGGUUAAGAUAUGAACGAUAUUUGGUUUUGACUCUGUAUGUUUUUAUAACUGAAAUAUGAAAUAGAGAACUAAUUGAACUAUCGACCUGGCUAUGUUGAGGACCCCGCCAAUGGGGGCAGAUACGUUGGCAAUUGACUGUCCUGNNN
Molecule: long non-coding RNA, 301 nt
Filed under: Phoenix dactylifera (date palm)
Lineage: Eukaryota; Viridiplantae; Streptophyta; Magnoliopsida; Arecales; Arecaceae
Description: long non-coding RNA (PDAC_LNC000168)
Source: RNAcentral